Molecule: ribosomal RNA, 2932 nt
Filed under: Escherichia coli
Lineage: Bacteria; Pseudomonadati; Pseudomonadota; Gammaproteobacteria; Enterobacterales; Enterobacteriaceae
Also listed under: 1 other name
Description: 23S ribosomal RNA
Rfam family: Bacterial large subunit ribosomal RNA
Source: RNAcentral
GGGUUGUGAGGUUAAGCGACUAAGCGUACACGGUGGAUGCCCUGGCAGUCAGAGGCGAUGAAGGACGUGCUAAUCUGCGAUAAGCGUCGGUAAGGUGAUAUGAACCGUUAUAACCGGCGAUUUCCGAAUGGGGAAACCCAGUGUGUUUCGACACACUAUCAUUAACUGAAUCCAUAGGUUAAUGAGGCGAACCGGGGGAACUGAAACAUCUAAGUACCCCGAGGAAAAGAAAUCAACCGAGAUUCCCCCAGUAGCGGCGAGCGAACGGGGAGCAGCCCAGAGCCUGAAUCAGUGUGUGUGUUAGUGGAAGCGUCUGGAAAGGCGCGCGAUACAGGGUGACAGCCCCGUACACAAAAAUGCACAUGCUGUGAGCUCGAUGAGUAGGGCGGGACACGUGGUAUCCUGUCUGAAUAUGGGGGGACCAUCCUCCAAGGCUAAAUACUCCUGACUGACCGAUAGUGAACCAGUACCGUGAGGGAAAGGCGAAAAGAACCCCGGCGAGGGGAGUGAAAAAGAACCUGAAACCGUGUACGUACAAGCAGUGGGAGCACGCUUAGGCGUGUGACUGCGUACCUUUUGUAUAAUGGGUCAGCGACUUAUAUUCUGUAGCAAGGUUAACCGAAUAGGGGAGCCGAAGGGAAACCGAGUCUUAACUGGGCGUUAAGUUGCAGGGUAUAGACCCGAAACCCGGUGAUCUAGCCAUGGGCAGGUUGAAGGUUGGGUAACACUAACUGGAGGACCGAACCGACUAAUGUUGAAAAAUUAGCGGAUGACUUGUGGCUGGGGGUGAAAGGCCAAUCAAACCGGGAGAUAGCUGGUUCUCCCCGAAAGCUAUUUAGGUAGCGCCUCGUGAAUUCAUCUCCGGGGGUAGAGCACUGUUUCGGCAAGGGGGUCAUCCCGACUUACCAACCCGAUGCAAACUGCGAAUACCGGAGAAUGUUAUCACGGGAGACACACGGCGGGUGCUAACGUCCGUCGUGAAGAGGGAAACAACCCAGACCGCCAGCUAAGGUCCCAAAGUCAUGGUUAAGUGGGAAACGAUGUGGGAAGGCCCAGACAGCCAGGAUGUUGGCUUAGAAGCAGCCAUCAUUUAAAGAAAGCGUAAUAGCUCACUGGUCGAGUCGGCCUGCGCGGAAGAUGUAACGGGGCUAAACCAUGCACCGAAGCUGCGGCAGCGACGCUUAUGCGUUGUUGGGUAGGGGAGCGUUCUGUAAGCCUGCGAAGGUGUGCUGUGAGGCAUGCUGGAGGUAUCAGAAGUGCGAAUGCUGACAUAAGUAACGAUAAAGCGGGUGAAAAGCCCGCUCGCCGGAAGACCAAGGGUUCCUGUCCAACGUUAAUCGGGGCAGGGUGAGUCGACCCCUAAGGCGAGGCCGAAAGGCGUAGUCGAUGGGAAACAGGUUAAUAUUCCUGUACUUGGUGUUACUGCGAAGGGGGGACGGAGAAGGCUAUGUUGGCCGGGCGACGGUUGUCCCGGUUUAAGCGUGUAGGCUGGUUUUCCAGGCAAAUCCGGAAAAUCAAGGCUGAGGCGUGAUGACGAGGCACUACGGUGCUGAAGCAACAAAUGCCCUGCUUCCAGGAAAAGCCUCUAAGCAUCAGGUAACAUCAAAUCGUACCCCAAACCGACACAGGUGGUCAGGUAGAGAAUACCAAGGCGCUUGAGAGAACUCGGGUGAAGGAACUAGGCAAAAUGGUGCCGUAACUUCGGGAGAAGGCACGCUGAUAUGUAGGUGAAGUCCCUUGCGGAUGGAGCUGAAAUCAGUCGAAGAUACCAGCUGGCUGCAACUGUUUAUUAAAAACACAGCACUGUGCAAACACGAAAGUGGACGUAUACGGUGUGACGCCUGCCCGGUGCCGGAAGGUUAAUUGAUGGGGUUAGCGGUAACGCGAAGCUCUUGAUCGAAGCCCCGGUAAACGGCGGCCGUAACUAUAACGGUCCUAAGGUAGCGAAAUUCCUUGUCGGGUAAGUUCCGACCUGCACGAAUGGCGUAAUGAUGGCCAGGCUGUCUCCACCCGAGACUCAGUGAAAUUGAACUCGCUGUGAAGAUGCAGUGUACCCGCGGCAAGACGGAAAGACCCCGUGAACCUUUACUAUAGCUUGACACUGAACAUUGAGCCUUGAUGUGUAGGAUAGGUGGGAGGCUUUGAAGUGUGGACGCCAGUCUGCAUGGAGCCGACCUUGAAAUACCACCCUUUAAUGUUUGAUGUUCUAACGUUGACCCGUAAUCCGGGUUGCGGACAGUGUCUGGUGGGUAGUUUGACUGGGGCGGUCUCCUCCUAAAGAGUAACGGAGGAGCACGAAGGUUGGCUAAUCCUGGUCGGACAUCAGGAGGUUAGUGCAAUGGCAUAAGCCAGCUUGACUGCGAGCGUGACGGCGCGAGCAGGUGCGAAAGCAGGUCAUAGUGAUCCGGUGGUUCUGAAUGGAAGGGCCAUCGCUCAACGGAUAAAAGGUACUCCGGGGAUAACAGGCUGAUACCGCCCAAGAGUUCAUAUCGACGGCGGUGUUUGGCACCUCGAUGUCGGCUCAUCACAUCCUGGGGCUGAAGUAGGUCCCAAGGGUAUGGCUGUUCGCCAUUUAAAGUGGUACGCGAGCUGGGUUUAGAACGUCGUGAGACAGUUCGGUCCCUAUCUGCCGUGGGCGCUGGAGAACUGAGGGGGGCUGCUCCUAGUACGAGAGGACCGGAGUGGACGCAUCACUGGUGUUCGGGUUGUCAUGCCAAUGGCACUGCCCGGUAGCUAAAUGCGGAAGAGAUAAGUGCUGAAAGCAUCUAAGCACGAAACUUGCCCCGAGAUGAGUUCUCCCUGACUCCUUGAGAGUCCUGAAGGAACGUUGAAGACGACGACGUUGAUAGGCCGGGUGUGUAAGCGCAGCGAUGCGUUGAGCUAACCGGUACUAAUGAACCGUGAGGCUUAACCUUACAACGCCGAAGCUGUU